CUGGAGGUAUCAGAAGUGCGAAUGCUGACAUAAGUAACGAUAAAGCGGGUGAAAAGCCCGCUCGCCGGAAGACCAAGGGUUCCUGUCCAACGUUAAUCGGGGCAGGGUGAGUCGACCCCUAAGGCGAGGCCGAAAGGCGUAGUCGAUGGGAAACAGGUUAAUAUUCCUGUACUUGGUGUUACUGCGAAGGGGGGACGGAGAAGGCUAUGUUGGCCGGGCGACGGUUGUCCCGGUUUAAGCGUGUAGGCUGGUUUUCCAGGCAAAUCCGGAAAAUCAAGGCUGAGGCGUGAUGACGAGGCACUACGGUGCUGAAGCAACAAAUGCCCUGCUUCCAGGAAAAGCCUCUAAGCAUCAGGUAACAUCAAAUCGUACCCCAAACCGACACAGGUGGUCAGGUAGAGAAUACCAAGGCGCUUGAGAGAACUCGGGUGAAGGAACUAGGCAAAAUGGUGCCGUAACUUCGGGAGAAGGCACGCUGAUAUGUAGGUGAAGUCCCUCGCGGAUGGAGCUGAAAUCAGUCGAAGAUACCAGCUGGCUGCAACUGUUUAUUAAAAACACAGCACUGUGCAAACACGAAAGUGGACGUAUACGGUGUGACGCCUGCCCGGUGCCGGAAGGUUAAUUGAUGGGGUUAGCCGCAAGGCGAAGCUCUUGAUCGAAGCCCCGGUAAACGGCGGCCGUA
RNAcentral lists this ribosomal RNA (682 nucleotides) under Escherichia coli. RNAcentral's name for it is "partial 23S ribosomal RNA". It matches the Rfam family "Bacterial large subunit ribosomal RNA", at positions 1273 to 1938 of the family's 2925-position model. Lineage: Bacteria; Pseudomonadati; Pseudomonadota; Gammaproteobacteria; Enterobacterales; Enterobacteriaceae. The record is from RNAcentral.